UGAGGAAUAUUGCGCAAUGGGCGAAAGCCUGACGCAGCCACGCCGCGUGCAGGAUGACACCCCUAUGGGGCGUAAACUGCUUUUAUAUGAGAAGAACACCCUCGUUUCGAGGCUUGACGGUAUCAUAUGAAUAAGGACCGGCUAACUCCGUGCCAGCAGCCGCGGUAAUACGGAGGGUCCAAGCGUUGUCCGGAUUUAUUGGGUGUAAAGGGUGCGUAGGUGGGCCUGUAAGUCAGAGGUGAAAUCCCGCAGCUUAACUGUGGAACUGCCUUUGAUACUGCAGGUCUUGAGUCCCGGAGGGGUCGCCGGAAUUCGUGGUGUAGCGGUGAAAUGCGUAGAUAUCACGAGGAACGCCGGAGGUGUAGACGGGUGACUGGACGGGUACUGACACUAAGGCACGAAAGCGUGGGGAGCGAACAGGAUUAGAUACCCCCGUAGUCC
Molecule: ribosomal RNA, 441 nt
Filed under: uncultured prokaryote
Description: bacterial SSU rRNA
Rfam family: Bacterial small subunit ribosomal RNA
Source: RNAcentral